Long non-coding RNA from Micropterus salmoides (largemouth bass), 6636 nucleotides. RefSeq lists it as uncharacterized. Lineage: Eukaryota; Metazoa; Chordata; Actinopteri; Centrarchiformes; Centrarchidae. The record is from RefSeq and is a predicted model, not a curated record. The transcript is spliced from 2 exons.
AGUGAUGUAAUGUUCACUCACAUUAUAUAACAUUAAUUUGACAUUUUGGAAGUUCAGCUUGUUUGUUGCUUUACCAGGACUUGGAUGGGAGCGUUGAUGUGAUUUUUCUACCUCUAGACUGAUCGGGGAUGUUUUUGCUUGGCGCAGGACCUAGAGGUUCUGGGUGAAGGCUAGCCACUGGAAAGCCUAUCACCUGGUUUUGUUCAGAGUUAGAGAUGACGGGACCCCUGGAAUGCGAUGUGCAGUCACUGGGUCUAAGCUAAGUGUUGAAGACCAGUAAAUACUUCCAAAAAGUAGGCUGGCUGCUUGUUAACCACAAUGUCUUGUUUUCUAUUGCUCUAUGUGUUAAAUACAGAAGAUGCAACAAGUGAGUGUGGAGGUUUUGUAAUAAAAGUCACCUUCGAAGAAGCUGGGUUGAGUAACGAAAGUAGUGUCAGCAAUUGUCUAUAAUUGGUGAAGUAAUAAAAUUACUUUUUCAGCGAGUGAUUGACAUUUCUCAAGUAGCCCAACACUGUUAUGUGUUUUGUAAGGGGGAAAAAUGGUCACCUCACACUUUUCUUGUUUCAUUCCCUUAAAUAAAAGACUAAUAACUGCAGAUGGAACAAAUACCCCAUGACCUUUUUCUGUAACUAAUGGGAAAGUGUCAGUAUAUAAAAAAAAAAGACAGAGAAGACAGACCACUUUGCCAUACUCUGUGACAUAACAAUCAGACAGACCCAAUCUCUGUGGACAGACUAAUCAGCCAAAGUUGCAAACAGCGGACAUAGCCUCCGCUGGUUCACUUCGCUCUGCCCUCUGGAUUAUUGAUACAGACACCUGCAGGGAUCCGGGAAAUCGACACACACCGGUGAACACAGCCAACACACACAUGCACCGACACACGGAGCCAGCACGCUGCAGGAUGAGUCAUGGAUAGCUGAGGUCAGUGCAUAGAUCUGGAGACAUUAGUGAAGAGAGAGGGGAAGCACCUGCUCGAACAGGCCUUAGGGAGGGAGCGGUGAGGAAAGCAUGGAUUUAAAUUAGCAGAAGGAUGGAUCCUCUGAAUAUUUGCAUAUGCCUCCUCAUGUCACGGUCGACCUGUAAAGCCUGUUCCCCAUGGAGAACGAGCUACGACUGCAUAUGUCCACCACUCAGCAAUCACAAAGAACAAAGGUCACCAUGACAGGUAUAAGUAGACAGAGAAAACAUUUCUGUUUAACCGGUUACCAUAACAGCAGCGAGUAAGACUAGGGUCACAGUCCAUAACACACACACACAAUCUCAAUUAGCAGAGCAGCAGUCAUUUCUCUGAAUGCCAGCCUGUUUCUGUCUAUGCUGCACAGUAAGAAUGAGCCCUCAGGUGACACACGCACACACACACACACAUACACGGUCACACGUGUGCAGGUUCAUUAGCAUGCUAAUUGGAGGUGAGGACAGUGUGGUGCGGAGGUGGUGCAGAGCAGCCCCAGUGUAUUAAUCACAGGCUCUGAUAGACCAGCUGACUCUCCAACCUGGUCCCUCAGCCCCCUCACCCCUGCACCUCCUUCCCUCCAGUCUGCCCACCUCCUACUCUCCAACUGAAGCCGGCCUCUAUGACUGCCUGCCCAGCUGGUAAAGGGAGCUUCAGUGCACAAGGGACGCUGUGUUCACACAGGUUCAUUGAGACUAAACAUUUUCUUUUUCAAAAUCUUUGCUUUGGGUCCAAACGCUACAGCACAUACAAGGCUUUUAUUUAUCCAUUUUGUGUAUUUAAUGUCUCACUUUUUAAUUACUUAUAUGGUUUGUUGAUGUUAUUUUUAUCGAUUCUUCUCCAGCCGUUUGAUUUAUUAGUCUUUGCAUAUUUUAGCUAGGUCAUUAUAAGUCAGUGUAAUGUGUUUUGUAACCUCCUUGGCCAGGACAUGUAUGUGAAAGAGAUUUAAUUAAUGUGACAUUAAUGUCAAUGACUGUAAUUCCAAAGUUAGAUAUCCACCAUUAAAGAAACAAAGUGGUGCUUUUUGAGAGUAGGAGUCUCUACUGUGUCUAUCAGCUGUUUGGUGCUGGGCAGAUGAUGUUUGUGUGUGUAUACUGUUUGUCCGAGCUUUUCCACUAACACAGCAACCUCUUGCAUCUGUAGAGAGGAUAGGGCACAUGGUCAUUUGAUCUGUUUGUGAAAUUAAAAUAUUGCUUAGUGCAUCUUUAAGGACCCUGUAAUGUCUGCCUGAGUGAAAACACCAAAUCUGCACAUGAACGCAGGUGUAGCUUUAGCUCGUAUGAGAAGCACUUUCUCUUUGAUUUAAGUGACACUGUAACUGUGCUAGGUAUCUCACAGAUAAGGAAGGAGCUGAUAUUUGACUAUGUGAAAAGCUCCAGGGUUAUGCAGGCAGAGAGAGAAAAAGAGCCAAUGAAGCAGCCAAAAGUAACCUGCUGUUACUGUAACAAGGGACCCUGAUAACACAGUAAUAACAGGCUAAUCGUAUUUGGGUUCAGAAACCACAACAUGCUAAUUCAAUUAGCUUAAUAAGCCCCUGUAGAUAAAAGGCUUGUUUCGGCUGUCGUGAUUGGCUCAAGGUCCCAGGGAGGUGGUCCUCUGGGGCAGUGCGUCUCAGCAUCCACCGCCACCAGUAGAGGGGGAACUUCCAGUACACCAGUGUACUGAAAACUCUGUGUGUGUGUGUGUGUGUGUGUGUGUGUUGGAUAAUGAAAGAUGUUUUGUUGGAAAUCUUGCCUGUAUGCACCUUUUUCUGUUGCUUUUAAAUAUAUUAGCUUUCACUGAUUAUGUCUGUAUAAUGGAUAACUGAGUUGUUUCGAUGGAAAUAGUACAAAGCUGAUUGGCAGGUAAAGCUUGCUAACACAGAGUGAUAGCGGUCUGGCAGUCAAUAGAUCAGACCUGGGUUCUAGUUCAUGCAAAAAGGAACUGGAAAACAAGUUUUCCUCCCCCCAAGUCUGACUCCUACCUAAAUGUUCUUUGAGAUAAAACUGAUACGCACAAGUUUGACAGAUUCCCCAAAGAAGCAAAUCACCAGCUCCUACUUCUGUAAACUGUGCAUCCUCUUAGAGUUUCAACAAUAGAGGGAAAAGUUGCUCGUCCCUUGGAACUUUCUUUAUUGUUUGUCUCCACAAACACAAAACACAAUGCCAAACAAAACUGUUCUCAGUCUAUUGUCCUGGUGCUGUGUCUCGGUUCACUCUGAGCGUCUGUCUCAGCGCUCGGCUCUUUGUGUGGAGAUGCACAGAAAGGCAUGGUCGUAUUGUUUCAGCGGCUGAGAAGGAGAAUGGAACUGUUACAGUGGGGAGAAUUGGCAGCUGAGCCCAGCGAGGAGAUUCUCCACACAGUAUUAGGGAGAGGGAUCACGACGCUCCACCGCCGCGCUGGCCCCGCUCACCCCUCACGCACACACACACACACACACACACACACACACACACACACGCUCCCCAAAACUAGACGUACAGCUUCGGUUCCCUCCCCUUCCCUGUGAAAUCUGCAUUCUCUCUUAACCCUUUGUUUCUCAGCAGACGAGCUAAUCUGUUUACGGGUGUUUGUGAGGGCUCCUUUGUUUGCACCACGCACAUAUGUGUGCACACACAUAUGCACACACACACACAUUAAUCUGCAGGCCACGAGCCAGCUGACACCAGCAGAAUAUAACACCAAUCCCCAUAGACUCUCUCCUGUACACACACACACACACACACACACACACACACACACACACACACACACACACACACACACGCACACAGUCUUUAGUUCUUUCUUUUACAGUCUUUCUUGCUCCCAUGUUCACAGAUGUAUGUGCAUGUGUACGCCUGUGCAUGCAACAUGCAACAACAUGCAUAUUCUACCCAGCUAUAGGAGGUGGGGGAUGGUGCACCUGAUCAGCAGUACCCAAAGCAGAUAAGAGAGGAGGCAGUGUCAAAUGAACAGAGGCAGUGUGGGCAGAGAGAGAGGAUGGUGUCUGGAGGCAGAGAAGUGCUGUAAACAACACAGCUCGCAUUUAAAGACGGAUUUGUUCAGAAGCAGAGGGCACCGCUGGAUCUGUACUGUACGCAUCAGCAAAAGACAACCCAGCACAUAAACACUCCCUCUCUCUCUCUGACGGGGCUCGAUUCUCUCCUCACACCAGCUCGAUCCCCUUCAUCAAACGUCACAGCAAUUUGAGAGAUUAGACUGCACGGAUUAGACACCACAAGGCUGCCUCUUUCUGAAGCGCCUGAUGCCUUUGUGCUCCAUUCUUUCCACCUCUUUCAUUUCAUAAGACGAUAUUAUAUCAAGUGGUGGUAAGACUCUCACAUUCACAAUAACGGCGUCUCAGUUGAUUCACUAACUAUAGGAUACGAGUGAGUAAUUAUGUAAGAAGUAAACACACUCGCUGACUCCCUAUUCCAUCUCGCACUGGCAUACUUGUUUAUUGGUUAGCCUUACUAGAUUUCCCUGCCUCCACUUCUGCUCUGAUUAAUGAGAUCCACACACAAACUCACACACACACACACACACACACACACACACACACACACACACACACACACACACACACACACACACACACACACACACACAGGCACGUGCUCUCAACACCAGCUCCCCUCUCACCAACUUAGCAGCGCUAUUAGUAAUGAUUGAACCCUAUCCAGUGGAUGUAAUAUAUUAGCAGGGAGAUUAUUCUGACGUUAAAACAUGUUCCCUGUGCUGACAGCAUCAUCAAUCACCCUCACACUGCCUGUAGAAGACUCACACACUGGACGUAAUUGCUUCAGCAUGGGGUUGGGGAGAGGGAGGGAAAGGAGGGAGGCUGAGGAGAGGGAGAAUGUGUGAGAUUUGGUGUUUGUACUUUGCAUGUUAGCCAUACAGCCAAGUGCAGCACUGAGAAUAAAGGACACUAGCACUGCCUAAACUGGCAUUUGAUAAUCCAGCUUGGUCUAAAAUGAGCUUUAAUCUGACUCAUUGCUCAUGACAAAUAGCUCCAACAAUUAUUUCCGAUAACUUCAUUUAAUGGAACUAAAUGUCUCUAUUAUAGGCUGCUACUUGAGGAUGAGUUCUGUACAGGUGGCUUAACUUUUUCAUCUAAUCUCUGUUUCCAACAGUGGUGGGAAAAACAUAUUCAGAUCCUUUACUUAGCAACACCACAGUGCAAAAUAUGCCACAACAGGUAAAAGUCCUGAAUACAAAAUGUUGCUUAAAAAGUACAUCAUUAUUAUCAGCAAAAAGUGCUUAAAGACGCAUUACAGUUUUUUUCAUUUGCUAACAAGUGCUUACCUAAACUUCAGAUACUUUAUCAAAACUCUUAACACAGCAACACUCCAACCUCACACAAUUAGUCAAAUAGUACAUUUUCUGCUCAAAACCACAUUUUGUUCUAUAUACACAAACUUUAUCAAAUCUCACAGCAAACCUGACUCAAAAUCAAAUAAUUCUAACAAAAUACUAGCACGUUUUCUUUCCAAGAGGAACAGAUCAAUCAAUCGUAGCAAAACGACUUUCUAAAUACAAACAGUUGAUGGCAUAACAAAAACUGCAUUACUUUUCAUGUUUCAGCUCUACCUGCAAACAGUAGACAAUCUGAAAUCCAUUGUUUUUUGUAAUUUUUUGCAUUUUUGGCUUGAGGCUCGAAUGUGUGCAUUUUUGGCAACAAACUAUGUAAAAGUGAAUGAGACAUCUUUACUUUAUAGAAUGUAGAAUAGGAAAAAAUGUAAGUGAAAGAAUUACAGAAGUAAAAGCUUUAUUAGCAACAUGAAAUUGCAGCCAAUGGUCAACAAAUAAUCCAGCCUAUGUGGCUUUUGGUUCAAAAUGUGUAAAAAUACUAUCAAAUACAUUUACGUUCCUUCUCGGCUACUUCGCUCCUCCAACGAACACCAUCUUUCUCUGCCAUCCCUAAGCACAAAGCAAUCUCAGUCCCAGCUGUUCUCACCUGUAACACCACGUGAAACAAGCUACCGCAUGCCAUCAGAGCAGGGGUGUCCCUCUCUAACUUCAAGAAGCUCUUGAAAACUCCUUUCUUCCGAAAAAACACUUCCUCUUAUAACACCUCUAACCCCUAACCACUAACAUCAUGUGCUCUUCUUCUUCUAUAUCCUUAUAAUUCUCUUGUCUUGAUUGCACUAUUCAUUAACUCUUACUUCUUUCUCUAUGUAUUUACCCAAUCGAUGCUCUAUGUCCUAAUAGCUGUUACCAGUAUUUAUUGUCAGUCACUUGUAGAUCUCUUUCUGUAUUGUGAUGCUUUAUUGAUGCUUGUAUGUUGUUCCUCAAAUGUAAGUCACUGUGGAUACAAGCGUCUGCCAAAUGAGUAAAUGUAAAUGUAAAUACACACGAUUACAUCGAAACAAAAAAAAUGCACAGAAGGGAAAGAAUCAAAAAUGCACAGCCCUGUUCUAUUUCAUGUGAUCUUCAGCAUUUGGCCACAUGUGCUCAUCCACAUCACAUCUAAUGUCAUCUCUCGCUUUGUACCUGGAUAGAAACUAUUCUUCACCCUUUUUCUGAGAUUAUUUUUACUCUUCUGUGUUGUUCUGUGUCCACAUUGGAUAAACUCAACUCCUGAAAAUUCCCUUUUUGCUGCAUUGUGUAUGUAACUGAAAGAACUUCAGCACCUGUUUAUGUCUCUGCUUAAAAUUGGAAUUAGCUGUGGUUGGUCUAUUUUACCCAAAUUACAAUAAAUCAGUUAUUUCUCAAUGUUUCAA